AUAUCAAUAAGCGGAGGAAAAGAAACUAACAAGGAUUCCCCUAGUAACGGCGAGUGAAGCGGGAAGAGCUCAAAUUUGAAAGCUGGCAGUAAUGUCCGCGUUGUAAUCUCGAGAAGUGUUUUCCGUGCUGGACCAUGGACAAGUUCCCUGGAAUGGGAUGUCAUAGAGGGUGAGAACCCCGUACUUGCUGUGGACGCCCAGUGCUUUGUGAUACACUUUCUAAGAGUCGAGUUGUUUGGGAAUGCAGCUCAAAAUGGGUGGUAAAUUCCAUCUAAAGCUAAAUAUUGGGGAGAGACCGAUAGCAAACAAGUACCGUGAGGGAAAGAUGAAAAGCACUUUGGAAAGAGAGUUAAACAGUACGUGAAAUUGUCAAAAGGGAAGCACUUGAAGUCAGAUAUGCAUAGUAGUACUCAGCCUUAUGGUGUAUUUACUAUUGUGCAGGCCAACAUCGAUUUUUGGUGACGGAUAAGGGUACAAGGAAUGUGGCCUCUCCGGAGGUGUUAUAGCCUUGUACUGGAUACGUGACUAGGGAUCGAGGAUCGCAGCGUCCCCAUUAGGGCAGGCCUUCGGGCACUUUGACGCUUAGGAUGUUGGCGUAAUGGCUUUAAGUGACCCGUCUUGAAACACGGACCAAGGAGUCUAACAUGUCUGCGAGUCUUUGGGUGGCAAACCCAUCGGCGCAAUGAAAGUGAAUGUAGGUGGGAUCCCUCGCGGGUGCACCAUCGACCGAUCCAGAUCUUCUGUGACGGAUUUGAGUAAGAGCAUAUAUGUUGGGACCCGAAAGAUGGUGAACUAUGCCUGAAUAGGGUGAAGCCAGAGGAAACUCUGGUGGAGGCUCGUAGCGGUUCUGACGUGCAAAUCGAUCGUCAAAUUUGGGUAUAGGGGCGAAAGACUAAUCGAACCAUCUAGUAGCUGGUUCCUG
RNAcentral lists this ribosomal RNA (922 nucleotides) under Eidernor doerrieniae. RNAcentral describes it as "Eidernor doerrienia partial large subunit ribosomal RNA". It matches the Rfam family "Eukaryotic large subunit ribosomal RNA", at positions 40 to 960 of the family's 3401-position model. The record is from RNAcentral. Lineage: Eukaryota; Fungi; Basidiomycota; Exobasidiomycetes; Exobasidiales.